This is an RNA transcript of Otolemur garnettii (small-eared galago), 494 nucleotides long. It is a transcript of the gene named nucleoside diphosphate kinase B pseudogene, with no coding region annotated. NCBI's taxonomy places the organism in Eukaryota, Metazoa, Chordata, Mammalia, Primates, Galagidae. The record is from RefSeq and is a predicted model, not a curated record. The transcript has a single exon.
CUCCACUUCCACUGCACAGCUCAGAGCCAACGCGGCCCGGCCCCACCAGCCUCCAGGACCAUGGCCAACCUCGAGCACACCUUCAUCGCCAUCAAGCUGGAUGGCGUGCAGCGUGGCCUGGUGGGUGAGAUCAUCAAGUGCUUCGAGCAGAAGGGAUUCCAUCUCGUGGCCAUGAAGUUCAUUCGGGCCUCUGAGGAACACCUGAAGGAGCACUAUGCUGACCUGAAGACCGCCCAUUCUUCCCUGGACUGGUGAAGUACAUAAACUCAGGCCCUGUUGUGGCCAUGGUCUGGGAGGGGCUGAAUGUGGUGAAGUCAGGCCGAGUGAUGCUUGUGGAGACCAAUCCAGCGGAUUCUAAGCCAGGCACCAUUCGUGGGGACUUCUGCAUUCAAGUUGGCAGGAACAUCAUUCGUGGCAGUGACUCAGUAAAAAGUGCUGAAAAAGAAAUCAGCCUGUGGUUUAAGUCCUGUGCUUAUGACUGGGUCUAUGAGUAA